Long non-coding RNA from Felis catus (domestic cat), 1346 nucleotides. RefSeq lists it as uncharacterized. NCBI's taxonomy places the organism in Eukaryota, Metazoa, Chordata, Mammalia, Carnivora, Felidae. The record is from RefSeq and is a predicted model, not a curated record. The transcript is spliced from 6 exons.
GCAGCCUCCAGGCCCCGAGCCAUCAGCCCAGAGCCCGACGCGGGGCCCAAACUUAUGGGCCGCAAGAUCGUGACCUGAGCCGAAGUCGGACUCUUAACCGACUGAGCCACCCAGGCGCCCCAGAUUCUAGAACUUUGUGUUGGCGAAGACUUCAUUUCAGGUGGGCCCUUUGCGUCAAAAGUGGAGCAGCUCUCGGUUUCCCGAAGGCUUUUCUGGAAUUGAAGAGACGGCCGGGACCUUGCACCAUGUGUGGCAACGAUCCGUCCCUUUUCCGUGAGCUCCGUCAUAAACGUAAAAGAAGGAAACAGACACCGAACAGAGCAUAUUUGCCAAAUCUCAAUCUCUAACAGCAAAACGGUUGCCAGUGGCUGAUUGACUAGAAUCGUACCUGGAUCCCUUCCAGACCUGGUGAGCCCUCUGCAAAUGCGCACUCGCCGUUUGAGGGCGGCCUCCACGCGACUCAGCUCAGAGGCACAAAGAGAUACAGACGUGGAAUGAAGAGCCCCCACCUCAGCUGCUCCAAGUACUUACAAGGAUCCGCAGGGGGAGCGUGACACAGAGGGUCACGGAAAUGCUACCAAAGCAAUGCCAAGGAGGAUGUUCAUCUCUUGCCCGUCAAAAGUCUCUACAGCCUUGGUCCCGGAGGUACAUCCAGAACCUCUCGUCACUGCCACAUCCCUUCUAAGUUAUCAGCCGUCACUACUUGGAAGACGUCACCCACGUUCGCCGUGAAUCUGCUCUCCACCAAAUGCAAAACGGAACAACACAGCCUGGAACUCUGCAUUCUUCCUCCGUUUGCAUCCGUGUUCUAAAUAGGAUUUCAUUCACGUGUCACUGAACACCAAGGACCAUUUGUCUUUCCAACAGAAACCGAAAGGGCUUAUGCCGUAGAAAUUACCGAAGGCAUGAUGGGUGGAGCGGACUUAGAAUGCAGUACUUACUGUCUCCAGUUUUUCACCUGGAUCGUUGAAAGAAGCGGCUGUUUCAUCCGUCCUCUGGUUUCCCCAUUUUUUUUUAAUGUUUAUUCAUUUUGGAGAGAGAGCAUGAGCUGGGGAUGGAUGGGCAGAGAGGAAAAGAGGACAGAAGAUCCCAAGCAGGCUCCGUGCUGACAGCCAGCAAGCCUAAUGCAGGGCUCGAACUCAGGAGCUGUGAGAUCUUGACCUGAGUUGAAUUUGGACGCUCAACCGGCUGAGCCACACAGGCGCCCCUGCUUUCCCCAUUUGUAUAAUGAGAUUCUAUAUCUGGACCUUCCUUUUUUUUAGUGUUUUUUUUUUUUUUUACAUUUAUUUAUUUAUUGAGAGAGAGAGAGAGAGACAGAGCGUGAGCAGGGGAGGGGCAGAGAGAGA